AGUGAACGCUGGCGGUAGGCCUAACACAUGCAAGUCGAACGGCAGCACAGUAAGAGCUUGCUCUUACGGGUGGCGAGUGGCGGACGGGUGAGGAAUACAUCGGAAUCUACUUUUUCGUGGGGGAUAACGUAGGGAAACUUACGCUAAUACCGCAUACGACCUACGGGUGAAAGCAGGGGAUCUUCGGACCUUGCGCGAUUGAAUGGGCCGAUGUCGGAUUAGCUAGUUGGCGGGGUAAAGGCCCACCAAGGCGACGAUCCGUAGCUGGUCUGAGAGGAUGAUCAGCCACACUGGAACUGAGACACGGUCCAGACUCCUACGGGAGGCAGCAGUGGGGAAUAUUGGACAAUGGGCGCAAGCCUGAUCCAGCCAUACCGCGUGGGUGAAGAAGGCCUUCGGGUUGUAAAGCCCUUUUGUUGGGAAAGAAAAGCAGCAGGUUAAUACCCCGCUGUUCUGACGGUACCCAAAGAAUAAGCACCGGCUAACUUCUUG
This 492-nucleotide ribosomal RNA is filed under the name uncultured bacterium. RNAcentral's name for it is "partial 16S ribosomal RNA". It matches the Rfam family "Bacterial small subunit ribosomal RNA", at positions 29 to 507 of the family's 1533-position model. The record is from RNAcentral.